AAAAUAAGACAAUUAGUAUCUCUAAUUAUCUUUAAAAUAUUUGAUUGCCUUUUGUGUUAUCUGCCGACCCUUUGAGGUUUUCUUAAUCAAGUUCAUUUUGAGUAAAUAAGGCUCGAUCUUUGAUUCAAUUGUAAAACAAUCAAUUCCACUUAUUAGUGAAAGUGAUUUCAAACCAAGAUAAAGUUUGGGAUUAUCAUCAAACGAUUUAAGGUAUUCCAGAUCUAGAUUUGAUAAACCAAACUGAUAGAUAUUUAAUUUUUCAAGGAUUGAUUUAAUCGUAAUCUCUUGAUCAAAUAACUUAAAAUCCAUCACCCGUUUAUAAAUUCUUAAAGCAUUGCGUGGUGUUCCUUUAGAAUGUUCUGCUAUCUGCACCAUCUCAUCCUUGGUUAACUUAAUCUUUUCUUUAACAUUAAUUGAUCUGAUGAUCUCAAAGAUCUCAUCAUCUUGAUAAUAAUCAAGUUGUAAUAAGAUUCCAAACCGCUCUUCUAACGGAUCGAUGAUCCUGCCAUACAUUGUCGUUGCACCAAUUA
This 530-nucleotide non-coding RNA is filed under the name Mycoplasmoides gallisepticum S6. Lineage: Bacteria; Bacillati; Mycoplasmatota; Mycoplasmoidales; Mycoplasmoidaceae. The record is from RNAcentral.